CUGUAUCACCCGGCGGAGGUCGUCUCUCCCCCUCCUCCCGCGGCGGCCGUUAUCUCUCCAACAUCGGCGCGUGACUCCCUCUCUCUAGCAUCGGCACUCGUCUCCCUCGCUCUCCUGCGCCCGGCUACAUCGAUCGACGACGGCACCUGCGUCCGGCUCCAUCGAUCUCCAGCGGCGGCGCCUGCCAUCCCUCGCCCUCCAUCGGCGUCGUCUAGACUCCCUCGCGGCGGCCUCUGUUCCAUCUGCAGGACAAGUGCAUCAUGUCCUGGAGAUAGUUCAUCUGAUGACUCAAGUGAUGAUGUGGUAGAGAUAGAAAGAACUCUAGAAAAUGAUGAUGUCAAUGUGGCUGUUUCGAAAAGAUCCAAACCAGGGAAAAGGAAACACAAGGCCUCAUGUACUGCUGCUGAGGAGAAGGAAGAGAAGACUCCAUUCUUUCGACUAUACAAGAACACAUGUUUGAAGAUAGAAACAACAACAGAGAAGAUAUCCACAGUGUUGAAGCAUCAUCAUCACCUCCAACAAGCCAAGCGCCUAGCAUUGCAGAGACUAUGA
This 552-nucleotide unclassified non-coding RNA is filed under the name Zea mays. Its description in RNAcentral is "misc RNA Zm00001eb184860". The record is from RNAcentral. Lineage: Eukaryota; Viridiplantae; Streptophyta; Magnoliopsida; Poales; Poaceae.